Molecule: long non-coding RNA, 2055 nt
Filed under: Arabidopsis thaliana (thale cress)
Lineage: Eukaryota; Viridiplantae; Streptophyta; Magnoliopsida; Brassicales; Brassicaceae
Description: long non-coding RNA (ATHA_LNC000112)
Source: RNAcentral
CAACCGGCGGUUUUUCUACAGGUGGAUUUGCUAUAGGUGGAGUUGCAACAGGCGGUUUUGCGGUAGGUGGAGUUGCUAUUGGUGGCAUUGCAACAGGUGGAGUUGCGGUGGGCGGUGUUGUCGUUGGAGGUUUUGCAAUAGGAGGAGUUGCAACUGGUGAAGUUGCGGUGGGCGGUGUUACAACCGGUGGUGUUGCAAUAGGAGAAGUUGCAAUAGGUGGAGUUGCGGUGGGCGGUGUUGCAACUGGCGGUUUUGCGACGGGUGGAGUUGCUAUUGGUGGAAUUGCAACAGGCGGUUUUGCGGGUGGUGGAGUUUUUAUAGGUGGUAUUGCAACUGGUGGUUUUGCAACAGGAGAAGUUGCAAUUGGUGGUGUUGCGGUGGGCGGUGUUGCAACUGGCGGUUUUGCGAUGGGUGGAGUUGCUAUUGGUGGAGUUGCAACAGGAGGUUUUGCGGGUGGUGGAGUUGUGAUAGGUGGUGUUGCGGCUGGUGGUGUUGCAACUGGUGGUUUUGAAAUAGGAGGAGUUAAGAUUGGUGGCUUUGCGGUAGGUGGAGUUGCUAUUGGUGGUGUUGCAACCGGUGGUUUUGCAACAGGUGGAGUUGCGGUGGGCGGUGCUGUAGUGGGUGGUGUUGCAACUGGUGGUUUUGCAAUAGGAGGAGUUGCAACUGGUGGUGUCGCGGUGGGCGGUGUUGCAACCGGUGAUUUUGCAAUAGGAGGAGUUGCAAUAGGUGGUGUUGCGGUGGGCGGUGUUACAACUGGGGGUUUUGCGACGGGUGGAAUUGCUAUCGGUGGAGUUGCAAUAGGCGGUUUUGCGGUAGGUGGAGUUGCUAUUGGUGGCAUUGCAACAGGUGGAGUUGCAGUAGGCGGUAUUGUCGUUGGAGGUUUUGCAAUAGGAGGAGUUGCAACUGGUGGAGUUGCGGUGGGCGGUGUUACAACCGGUGGUGUUGCAAUAGGAGGAGUUGCAAUAGGUGGAGUUGCGGUGGGCGGUGUUGCAACUGGCGGUUUUGCGACGGGUGGAGUUGCUAUUGGUGGAAUUGCAACAGGCGGUUUUGCAGGUGGUGGAGUUUUUAUAGGUGGUGUUGCAACUGGUGGUUUUGCAACAGGAGAAGUUGCAAUUGGUGGUGUUGCGGUGGGCGGUGUUGCAACUGGCGGUUUUGCGAUGGGUGGAGUUGCUAUUGGUGGAGUUGCAACAGGAGGUUUUGCGGGUGGUGGAGUUGUGAUAGGUGGUGUUGCGGCUGGUGGUGUUGCAACUGGUGAUUUUGAAAUAGGAGGAGUUGAGAUUGGUGGCUUUGCGGUAGGUGGAGUUGCUAUUGGUGGUGUUGCAACCGGUGGUUUUGCAACAGGUGGAGUUGCGGUGGGCGGUGUUGUAGUUGGUGGUGUUACAACUGGUGGUUUUGCAAUAGGAGGAGUUGCAACUGGUGGUGUCGCGGUGGGCGGUGUUGCAACCGGUGAUUUUGCAAUAGGAGGAGUUGCAAUAGGUGGUGUUGCGGUGGGCGGUGUUACAACUGGGGGUUUUGCGACGGGUGGAAUUGCUAACGGUGGAGUUGCAACAGGUGGUUUUACUGGUGUUGGAGUUGUUAUAGGUGGUGUUGCGGCUGGUGGUGUUGCAACUGGUGGUUUUGAAAUAGGAGGAGUUGAGAUUGGUGGCUUUGCGGUAGGUGGAGUUGCUAUUGGUGGUGUUUCAACUGGUGGUUUUGCAACAGGUGGAGUUGCGGUGGGCGGUGUUGUAGUGGGUGGUGUUGCAACCGGUGGUUUUUCAAUAGGAGGAGUUGCAACUGGUGGAGUCGCAGUGGGCGGUGUUGCAAUUGGCGAUUUUGCGAUGGGUGGAGUUGCAACAGGUGGUUUUGCGGGUGGUGGAGUUUUUAUUGGUGAUGUUGCGGUUGGUGGUGUUGCAACUGGUGAUUCUGAAAUAGGAGGAGUUGAGAUAGGUGAUUUUGAGGUAGGUGGAGUUGCUAUUGGUGGUGUUGCAACAGGUGGAGUUGCGGUGGGCGGUGUUGCAACUGGUGGCUGUGCAAUUGGAGUGACGGGUGGAGUUACUAUUGGUGAAAUUGCAACAG